GGAAUCAAAUCAGGUGCACACAGCAUGGACGCUGCCAGAUUUUGGGACUUGGCCCUUUCUGACACAGUGGGGGCCAGGAGUGGUGAGAUUGGGGGUGAGCAAGAUUCUGAAGAGAGCAGAGCAAUAGAAACCAUAAAGAAGACAUAAAGGAGUAAUAAAGACUACACCCAAUGAUAGUCCUCUUCCUACAUGACCCUGGUUUGUGUCAAGUUGACAGGCUAGCCAGCACAUAUGGGUUCCAAGAGAGGAACUAAUACCAUCAGGAGUUCCUCCCUGUGGGGAUCUCUGCAACCUCCAUGGCCAACAGAGAGAUGAUCCAAGAGAAGCAAGAAGGCAGUUUGGUUCAACACAACUAAGUAGCUGGUGAUGGUUCUAACUUUGGGCUCUUCCACUGCUCCAGCCAGCCUUCCCUCUGCCACCUCUUGCCUUGAUUCUACAGACUGAGUUCCAAGGCCCAGAGAUGGAACUCACUCCUGACAGUUACUGCUGAAGCUGAAGACACAUCUCUG
Molecule: long non-coding RNA, 509 nt
Organism: Alexandromys fortis (reed vole)
Lineage: Eukaryota; Metazoa; Chordata; Mammalia; Rodentia; Cricetidae
Exons: 4
Source: RefSeq, a predicted model, not a curated record